CAUUAACCACUGCGCCAUGAUGGUAACUCUGAGAGUUACUUCAUAGUUUAAAUAAGUAAAUUGUCACAGGCAUUUAUAGGUUAAAAUUGGCCUAAAAAUGACUUUUAAAUAAGCUGGUUUUCCUUGCUUUUAGUUGCUGUUGGCCCAAGGUGAUUAAAUUUUACUUUCUUUUUGGUGUUUAAAGUAAAGCUAAGAUGAAAUUAUUCAGAAGGCUUAAAUUAAUAUGGUUCUCUUACCUCACUAAAAUAAUUCAAAGAAACAGCCCCAAAUCCAAAGUGAGACUUAAACAAAGACACAUCUUUUGUUUAGCAAUUAGUAGUGGUGGAAAGGAAUUUAUUUUUAUAAAGACAGAAUGAUUUUUCCACUAAGUUUUGUUAGAUUUGUCCCACCCUUCCCUGGGAUAGGCUGCGAAAAGGUCAGUGAAAACCAAUUCAGGGAAACUGCAAAGCUAGGAAAAAAGAAAAAAGCUGAGAUUAAUACAGUAUGAUUUUAGAAACCUUCUUUAUACUUGUUUAAAGGGCUGCAGACCCACAGAAAUUGGCUUGCUAUAGCAACUUUGAGACUUGACUCUCUUGCUACCUCCUGACUUGUCUUUUUCUGAACAGAGAGUGAUUUUGUCUGUGUUUUAGGAGGGUACAGCUGGGAGCAACUUGGAGUACAGAUUGGAGGAGAUGGUGAUAGGAACACCAAGGAGGGGAGAUGCAUUCCAGAAAAGGCAUUUUUAAAAUAUUUAAUCAUUCAUGAGUUGAGCUUCAUUCUUGAGUCAUGGAUGACAAGGCUUCUGUUGGAAAAAUCAGUGUCUCCUCAGACUCUGUGUCUACUCUUAAUAGUGAAGAUUUUGUCUUGGUUUCCAGGCAAGGAGAUGAGACACCAUCUACAAAUAAUGGAAGUGAUGAUGAGAAAACGGGACUCAAGAAUGUAUGGAGUGGAAGUGAGGACAUAGAAAUAAUAUCCUUUCUUUUUUUAAUGCUAAGACUUUUAUUUAUUAUUAAUAAGUGUGACACAUUUAUAUCUGAUUAAGGAUUUUCAAUUUGAUUAGUUUCUAAAUCUUCUAAUUCCCUAACUGUAAAAACCAGUGAUCAUGGCAUAAAUAUUUGUUAUUUUAGUAUUGUUUUCAAUUUUCCAUUGAGUUAGAGGUGGUUGAUUGUUUUGGGCCUGGUGUAUGUAGUGUAAAGACAGUGGCAGGUCAGCAAUGCUUUUUAGACGAAUAGGUUUUAGAAUUAUUAAAACAGAACUUAAAAUUCCUGGCUUUUGACUACUUCUAUUUGUUUAUAUUUUCUCAGUAAAAUAGAUGGCUGUUACUUCUUUCCCCAUACUCUGUUACUGUUCUGCUCUUUAUGGAUAUAAAUUAAAAACAUUAUCUGUUAAUGUCACUUAAAAUGUAAGUGGCUUUAAAAAUAUUUUGAUUCUUGUUUAUAUAUAUUUUUUCAACAAGUGUUUAUUGAGUAUUAACUUUGUGCCAAGUACUGUUCUAAAUACUGGAGGGAGAUACAGUAGUGAAUAAGACAGGCAAGCCCCUCUGCCCUCCUAGAGCUUUUAAUGUUUUGGGGGAAACAGACUCUUAGGCAAAUGAGAAAAUGAGUAUAUUAAGUAAAUUUAGAUGCUUUGAAGAAAAAAGAGUGAAUGGCAAAUACUGCUGUAGAGAAUGUCUUGAAGUGACAUUUUAGCAGAGAUCUGAAUGAAAUCAGGAGGAACUUGUCCAUGGAGAAAUCUGAAGAGAGAGCUUUCCACAGAGAAUAGAAAAUAAAAAAACUGAGGGGGACCA
This 1765-nucleotide long non-coding RNA is filed under the name Sus scrofa (pig). RNAcentral's name for it is "lncRNA (ENSSSCG00035031666.1)". The record is from RNAcentral. Lineage: Eukaryota; Metazoa; Chordata; Mammalia; Artiodactyla; Suidae.